Molecule: long non-coding RNA, 200 nt
Filed under: Elaeis guineensis (African oil palm)
Lineage: Eukaryota; Viridiplantae; Streptophyta; Magnoliopsida; Arecales; Arecaceae
Description: long non-coding RNA (EGUI_LNC007296)
Source: RNAcentral
UAGCCCAACCUAUUCAAGUCUGUGAGAUCUAUUGGUAAAUGGCUUUUAUGAAGGCAUAGGUUGGAAAACUCCUCUUUCAAGUUUCUUUAUAGAUAAACUCUAAUUAAAUACUUCAAUAAUUAUAUUAGAAGGUAUGUACCGCUAAUAUUUUCACUACAUAAAAUUAUUUUAUUAGAGAUAUUUUCUUACAUCCAAUACUA